This 828-nucleotide ribosomal RNA is filed under the name Shigella sonnei. RNAcentral's name for it is "partial 23S ribosomal RNA". It matches the Rfam family "Bacterial large subunit ribosomal RNA", at positions 50 to 920 of the family's 2925-position model. Lineage: Bacteria; Pseudomonadati; Pseudomonadota; Gammaproteobacteria; Enterobacterales; Enterobacteriaceae. The record is from RNAcentral.
UGAAGGACGUGCUAAUCUGCGAUAAGCGUCGGUAAGGUGAUAUGAACCGUUAUAACCGGCGAUUUCCGAAUGGGGAAACCCAGUGUGAUUCGUCACACUAUCAUUAACUGAAUCCAUAGGUUAAUGAGGCGAACCGGGGGAACUGAAACAUCUAAGUACCCCGAGGAAAAGAAAUCAACCGAGAUUCCCCCAGUAGCGGCGAGCGAACGGGGAGCAGCCCAGAGCCUGAAUCAGUGUGUGUGUUAGUGGAAGCGUCUGGAAAGGCGCGCGAUACAGGGUGACAGCCCCGUACACAAAAAUGCACAUAUUGUGAGCUCGAUGAGUAGGGCGGGACACGUGGUAUCCUGUCUGAAUAUGGGGGGCCCAUCCUCCAAGGCUAAAUACUCCUGACUGACCGAUAGUGAACCAGUACCGUGAGGGAAAGGCGAAAAGAACCCCGGCGAGGGGAGUGAAAAAGAACCUGAAACCGUGUACGUACAAGCAGUGGGAGCACGCUUAGGCGUGUGACUGCGUACCUUUUGUAUAAUGGGUCAGCGACUUAUAUUCUGUAGCAAGGUUAACCGAAUAGGGGAGCCGAAGGGAAACCGAGUCUUAACUGGGCGUUAAGUUGCAGGGUAUAGACCCGAAACCCGGUGAUCUAGCCAUGGGCAGGUUGAAGGUUGGGUAACACUAACUGGAGGACCGAACCGACUAAUGUUGAAAAAUUAGCGGAUGACUUGUGGCUGGGGGUGAAAGGCCAAUCAAACCGGGAGAUAGCUGGUUCUCCCCGAAAGCUAUUUAGGUAGCGCCUCGUGAAUUCAUCUCCGGGGGUAGAGCACUGUUUCGGCA